ACGCUCGACACCUACGGGAGGUAGCAGUGGGGAAUAUUGCACAAUGGGGGAAACCCGUGAUGCAGCGACGCCGCGUGGAGGAAGAAGGUCUUCGGAUUGUAAACUCCUGUUGUUGGGGAAAAAGAGGAUGGUACCCAACAAGGAAGUGACGGCUAACUACGUGCAAGCAGCCGCGGUAAUCUGAGCGGGCUGGCAAGGC
This 199-nucleotide ribosomal RNA is filed under the name uncultured bacterium. RNAcentral's name for it is "partial 16S ribosomal RNA". It matches the Rfam family "Bacterial small subunit ribosomal RNA", at positions 328 to 539 of the family's 1533-position model. The record is from RNAcentral.